CGUCAGGCAACUCCGUAGUCCCGUUAAGUUGGCGGCAAAUGUGAAAAAAAAAGUAAAGUACAGUACAGUUUGGCCGGUUUUUAUCGUGUGGUGAAAUACAUCAAUUGAUUGAGACAAAAUGUGUUUGCAUUUGAACAAUGCUUUGGUGGACGACUACAGCUCGUUGUGGGCGUGACUGGCGGGCAAAUGGGGCUGCAAGUUCCACCAAAAAUCGGCCCGAUGCUGCAUUAACUCGUUUUCAAGUCGGAAAAUGGAUGCGGCGUCCUCCAUUUUAGUGCCCAAUCGGACAUAUUCCACUGGAUAACUGGAAGCGGGACUCCAGUUCGGCAGAUGGAAGCUGGCAUUCAUGGGAUUUGGAUUGCUGUGGAAAGUGGAAGUGCCAUUAGUUUCGGCUCAAAAAGUUGUCUUCAAGUGCGUUUUACCCAGUCUUUGCAAAGCUAACCCACAGAUGGAGCAUCAGUUCGCGGAGCUCCAGAUCCUUUUGCGUUGGUACCGCACUUACGAAUAGCUCCCGGCCAAUGGGGAACAGAUACUGGAGCUCCUCUGCGUGACACGCUCCGUAGAACUCGUUGCGUCCGCCCUUGAAAAUCUCCGUAAAACUGGCGGCUCCCUUGUGAUCGAAUAGGUAUACAUAAGUGGGGGCCACAUCCUCUUGGGACAUCCGGAGGCGCAAGUACUCAUCAAUUCCGGCCACGAACCAUCCGUCCGAGAUCAGCUGAAAUGGUAAAUGGCCGAUCCCCCACUCACGUCGGUCAAAUUCUGGUGGUUGACCUUAUCGUAAUCGUGGCCCGACUUGAAGUAGAAGCUUUCGAUGCGCUGCGUAAUCCUCUGUCGCACGGAGUCGUCGUGGUGAUCGUAGUUCAGCACAACUGGCAGAACCUGCUCAAACUGAGACUUAAACUCGGCCAAAAGCUGGGGAAGGUUAAGCAGGGCGGCGGUUUUAAGGAGACCUUCCUCGGCGGUGGCGCCCACCAUCAGUGGAAGUUCCAGUCCAUGUGGCUUGGCCGCCUGGCGAGGUGCCACUGUGAGAAAGGCCCCAUCGUGCUCCGGUUCGAUUACGGGCGGAAAUGGUAUCAUCGGAUCAAAGUCCCAGACCUGCAAUACAAAGCCAAAGGUGAAGCUUAACCUUCCAUUCACCUAAUUUGUUUAAUAACAGCUUGAAUGGUUGCAUUGUACUCAUCUUUGGUCAAAUACCACCUCAACUUGUAUCACAAAAGACUAAGCUGAUGUCACUUGCAACAAAAGUAUUUUACAUAAGUGUUAAACUUGAGAGCCUUCAUUGAAUCUAAGAUUGAUUAAAUUGGUUAAGAGGCUAAUGGCUUAGGCUUUUGUAUAGAAAUUGUAUACGUAAAUCGUUAAAUUUAAAAUGUCAAGAGAAGUUUCCUUAAUCUUUUACAAUUAUUAAUUCCCUGCCCAAAUCUUUUGCAGACUGCGGAUACUUACGAACAUGUCGUAUAGGGCGGCCACUAUAUCCUCGGCUGGCCUCUUCCUCAGGCACUCCAGUUUCUCUGGCCAUUCUCCGGCGGUGCCGCAGCCCACUAUCUUGGCCAAUUUGGUUGCCCUUCCAGCGGCCACUCCCUUAUGCGCAGGCUGUGCCCAGGGAUUGAAAUAGGUGCCAGAUUGGGCGAUACCACGGUGCAGUAAGCCGCGCGACUUUUCCGACAGCAUGUGAUAGGUGACACUGGCACCUCCGGCGCUCUCACCAAAGACCGUUACACUAUUUGGAUCACCACCAAAUGAUGCGAUGUUCGCACGAACCCAGCGCAGCACCUCCAGUUGAUCCUUUAAGCCAUUGUUGCCGGGACAAUCGACCGUCUCUGUGCUAAGGAAUCCCAAAGGUCCCAAUCGAAAGUUGGCCGAAACCAAAACGAUGUCGUGGUCGAGCAGAAAAUCAGGACCGUAGAAGCUGCUAAUACCGGAGCCACACUGCCAGCCGCCGCCAUGGAACCACACCAUCACAGGCAAAGAUCCAUUGGUUUUCGGCCUCUCCGGCGUGUAAACGUUCAGAUAGAGGCAAUCCUCGGAACCCUCCAGGGUCAUGUCGCGCCGGAAGGGAUCGCGCUGCAGACAAAUGGGUGCAUCCUUGAUCGCUAAGCGUUCACCCUCCCAAGGUGCCUUCGGCACCGGCGGACGAAAGCGAAGAUCAUCGAGUGGUGGCUCUGCAUAUGGGACACCCAUAAAAGCCCGCAUGUGCCGGCCAUUGUGGCUGGUUAAAUGGCGUCCAAUAAGCCAUCCGCCGUGGGAUAAACGCACAUGCAAACACUGCGAAUUGCGUCCAUCGCUCCAUUGUAUGCAAAUGCACAACAAAAUCACCCGUAUAGACCAAAGGCCAGCGUUUUUUGACAUCGUGUUCCUGCGCUUGAAGUCCGAGUUCAGACUGAUUCCGCUGCUGCACAGCACGCGUAUUUUUAAGAUUACAACACCAUCAUAAAGCUAGCAAUUUCAGCGCGCCAGCUUCCGAAGCUAACUUGUUUGCCGAAUUUUUUCUUCAGCGGCCCGUCUCUUAGCUCAUUAAUACUGCUUAUAUUCAUACCCUCAGCGGAGUAUUUUAAAUGUGGAACCCAUAUUCCAACUGGAAGGGUAUGCAGACGCCAAGUUGAUCAGCGUGAUCAACAUCGCCAUCAGCACAACAUCAAACAUCGACAUUAAUUUCUGAUGUUUAGGUUUCGUUUUGGAACAUUGCGCAAAUUUGGUCAAAUCGAGCCGAAAACCGUGGUUCGAGGUU
This is a long non-coding RNA of Drosophila erecta, 2725 nucleotides long. RefSeq lists it as uncharacterized. The record is from RefSeq and is a predicted model, not a curated record. Lineage: Eukaryota; Metazoa; Arthropoda; Insecta; Diptera; Drosophilidae. The transcript is spliced from 3 exons.